AGCGAACGCUGGCGGCAGGCCUAACACAUGCAAGUCGAACGACCUCUUCGGAGUUAGUGGCGGACGGGUGAGUAACACGUGGGAACGUGCCUUUAGGUUCGGAAUAACUCAGGGAAACUUGUGCUAAUACCGAAUGUGCCCUUUGGGGAAAGAUUUAUCGCCUUUAGAGCGGCCCGCGUCUGAUUAGCUAGUUGGUGAGGUAAAGGCUCACCAAGGCUACGAUCAGUAGCUGGUCUGAGAGGAUGACCAGCCACAUUGGGACUGAGACACGGCCCAAACUCCUACGGAGGCAGCAGUGGGGAAUCUUGCGCAAUGGGCGAAAGCCUGACGCAGCCAUGCCGCGUGGAUGAUGAAGGUCUUAGGAUUGUAAAAUCCUUUCACCGGUGAAGAUAAAUGACUGUAGCCGGAGAAGAAAGCCCCGGGCUAAACUUCGUGCCAGCAG
Molecule: ribosomal RNA, 442 nt
Filed under: uncultured bacterium
Lineage: Bacteria
Description: bacterial SSU rRNA
Rfam family: Bacterial small subunit ribosomal RNA
Source: RNAcentral